UUUCCGUAGGUGAACCUGCGGAAGGAUCAUUCAUAAUAAGUGCUUUAUGGCACUUUUUUAAAUCCAUAUCCACCUUGUGUGCAAUGUCAGGGUUGAUUUUUCUCUCGAGAGGAUCAGCCCCAAACAUCAACUAUAUCUCAACUCUUUGUCUGAAAAAUAUUAUGAAUAAACAAUUCAAAAUACAACUUUCAACAACGGAUCUCUUGGCUCUC
RNAcentral lists this unclassified non-coding RNA (212 nucleotides) under plant metagenome. Its description in RNAcentral is "partial contains small subunit ribosomal RNA, internal transcribed spacer 1, and 5.8S ribosomal RNA". The record is from RNAcentral.